Molecule: non-coding RNA, 566 nt
Organism: Callithrix jacchus (white-tufted-ear marmoset)
Lineage: Eukaryota; Metazoa; Chordata; Mammalia; Primates; Cebidae
Source: RefSeq, a predicted model, not a curated record
AGACGUGCUUUUGCCGUGUUGCCUGGACUGGUCUCGAACUCCUGAGCUCAAGCAAUCUGUCUGCCUCAACCUCCCGAAGUGCUAGAAUUAAAUAUCCAAACUCUGCAAAAUGGUGGACAUUUCAAAACAUCUGAAAUCUGCUUCAUUUGGUCUUCAUAUCUGAAAACCUGAAGUAAUAACUUGAAGUCAGUAAAGCAAGAUGCUUCAAAGACAAGACUUGGGAGUCAGACUGUAUCCAAAUCCUGGUUGUGCCAUUGACUGGGAAGACUAGGAAGUUCCUUCUCCCUCCUGUGCCUCAUUGGCUCUGUGUGAAUAGUGGAAAAGCAGUUUAAUUCAGUUGGUUAAACAUAGCUUCAGAUUCAGGAUGUCUGGUUUCAGAUACCAGCUCUCUCUGCCAUGUCCUAACUGUGCCCUUUGGGACAAGUCAACUUCUCCCUUCUCGGUUACUUCAUCUGUAAAUAUAAGAUAAUAAACAUAUCUACUUUAUAGAAUUUUUGAAAAAACAGAACCUAAGUGACAAUUCAUGGUAAACUCUUAAUAAACAUUAUUAUAUUUUCGCAAGUGAA